Molecule: transfer RNA, 80 nt
Filed under: Bos taurus (domestic cattle)
Lineage: Eukaryota; Metazoa; Chordata; Mammalia; Artiodactyla; Bovidae
Also listed under: 1 other name
Rfam family: tRNA
About the family: Transfer RNA (tRNA) molecules are approximately 80 nucleotides in length. Their secondary structure includes four short double-helical elements and three loops (D, anti-codon, and T loops).
Source: Rfam by way of RNAcentral
UCCCAGGUGGCUCAGCGGUAAAGUACCUGCCUCCAAUGUAGGAGAUAGAGGAGACGCAGGUUUGAUCCCUGGGUUGGGAA